This 71-nucleotide transfer RNA is filed under the name Cordylochernes scorpioides. RNAcentral describes it as "tRNA-Gly". It matches the Rfam family "tRNA". Rfam says of the family: Transfer RNA (tRNA) molecules are approximately 80 nucleotides in length. Their secondary structure includes four short double-helical elements and three loops (D, anti-codon, and T loops). Further hydrogen bonds mediate the characteristic L-shaped molecular structure. tRNAs have two regions of fundamental functional importance: the anti-codon, which is responsible for specific mRNA codon recognition, and the 3' end, to which the tRNAs corresponding amino acid is attached (by aminoacyl-tRNA synthetases). tRNAs cope with the degeneracy of the genetic code in two manners: having more than one tRNA (with a specific anti-codon) for a particular amino acid; and 'wobble' base-pairing, i.e. permitting non-standard base-pairing at the 3rd anti-codon position. The record is from RNAcentral. Lineage: Eukaryota; Metazoa; Arthropoda; Arachnida; Pseudoscorpiones; Chernetidae.
GCAUCGGUGGCUUAGUGGUAGAAUGCUCGCCUGCCACACGGGCGGCCCGGGUUCGAUUCCCGGCCGAUGCA